AAGUCACCAUUAAGUUCUAGAGGCAAAAAUAAAGGGGUUUGUGUUCAAGACAUUUGUAAAAUAAUAAAAAUGAAAGGGUUAAAAAAUAAAAUCAAAAGUAUAAUAAAUGGGGAAAAUAAAUAAAUAAAAUAACACAAGUAUGAAAAAUAAUGAGAGUUUGCACACGCAGGGGGUUGAACCCCUGACCUUGGGGUCAUGAGGGGAUCAACCCCAU
RNAcentral lists this long non-coding RNA (214 nucleotides) under Lathyrus oleraceus (garden pea). Its description in RNAcentral is "Pisum sativum (pea) long non-coding RNA (PSAT_LNC030193)". Lineage: Eukaryota; Viridiplantae; Streptophyta; Magnoliopsida; Fabales; Fabaceae. The record is from RNAcentral.